CCAGUGGUGGUUCAGUGUAGAAUUCUUGCCUUCCAUGCAGGAGACCUGGGUUUGACUUCUGGUCAUUGCU
This 70-nucleotide transfer RNA is filed under the name Loxodonta africana (African savanna elephant). It matches the Rfam family "tRNA". Rfam says of the family: Transfer RNA (tRNA) molecules are approximately 80 nucleotides in length. Lineage: Eukaryota; Metazoa; Chordata; Mammalia; Proboscidea; Elephantidae. The record is from Rfam by way of RNAcentral.